UACGGAAGGCAGCAGGGGGAAUAUUGCACAAUGGGCGAAAGCCUGAUGCAGCUAUGCCGCGUGUAUGAAGAAGGCCUUAGGGUUGUAAAGUACUUUCAUCGGGGAGGAAAAAACAAAACUAAUAAUUUUAUUUCUUGACGUUACCCGAAAAAGAAGCACCGGCUAACUCCGUGCCAGCAGCCGCGGUAAUACGGAGGGUGCUAGCGUUAAUCAGAAUUACUGGGCGUAAAGAGCACGUAGGUGGUUUUUUUAAAGUCAGAUGUGAAAUCCCUGGGCUUAACCUGGAACUGCAUUUUGAAACUGAAAUACUAGAGUAUCGUAGAGGGAGGUAGAAUUCUAGGUGUAGCGGUGAAAUGCGUAGAUAUCUGGAGGAAUACCUGUGGCGAAAGCGGCCUCCUAAACGAAUACUGACACUGAGGGUGCGAAAGCGUGGGGAGCAAACAGGGAUUAGAUACCCGU
This 459-nucleotide ribosomal RNA is filed under the name uncultured bacterium. RNAcentral's name for it is "bacterial SSU rRNA". It matches the Rfam family "Bacterial small subunit ribosomal RNA", at positions 340 to 789 of the family's 1533-position model. The record is from RNAcentral.